This 342-nucleotide ribosomal RNA is filed under the name Clostridioides difficile. RNAcentral describes it as "partial 23S ribosomal RNA". It matches the Rfam family "Bacterial large subunit ribosomal RNA", at positions 2581 to 2925 of the family's 2925-position model. Lineage: Bacteria; Bacillati; Bacillota; Clostridia; Peptostreptococcales; Peptostreptococcaceae. The record is from RNAcentral.
UCGCCCAUUAAAGUGGUACGCGAGCUGGGUUCAGAACGUCGUGAGACAGUUCGGUCCCUAUCCGUCGCAGGCGUAGGAAAUUUGAGAAGACCUGUCCUUAGUACGAGAGGACCGGGAUGGACAUACCUCUGGUGUACCAGUUGUCCUGCCAAGGGCAUGGCUGGGUAGCUAUGUACGGAAUGGAUAAGCGCUGAAAGCAUCUAAGCGCGAAGCCAACUUCAAGAUAAGAUUUCCCACCGCAAGGGUAAGACCCCAGAAAGACUAUCUGGUUGAUAGGUCGAAGGUGUAAGUGCAGCAAUGUAUUUAGCUUAUCGAUACUAAUAGGUCGAGGACUUGACCAAU